AGAAACUAGACUCUCUCGAGCUGGAGAGAGACAACAUCGCAUCCACAGAGCGCGCAGGAGGCAAGGGAACGAGAACAUCGCGUGCAGGUCACACUCGUGCGCGGUUUUCAUAAAGUAAAGCUCGCGUCUGUGCGCGCACGAACACCGUAAGCAUGCUUUUCAAGGGAUGAAAUCCCCAUCUUGGAAAUUAAACUGCCUGUUCCGUUCUCUGGAUGGCUGAGACGCAAUAUUCGAUGGCCGAAUACUUGAGGACUGCGAGUUUUUUUUGAAUGGGAAAACGCGUCGCCGAAGAGAUGCACCGAAGAGUUUGGCGUUUGGCUAUAGAUGUUUCCACAGAUUUUUUAGCGUCAUGUUCUUGAACGGGAACCUCUAUUUGUCCCCGACACACGGCCACUCGUAGUUUUACUUUCUGACAGUGAGGAAUAUGUGCGUCAAUUGUUAAAAGUCAACUUUAUGAGAUGUUCCACUUUUUACAAAAAAGUUUUGACAGGAGGUAGUUGCUAUCUUUGGUUAUCUAGCUGUAUGAGUGUUUAUCUGCCUUCAUAAAGCUAGAUAACCGAAAGUAGAAAUGUCCUCCUUAACUGCAUACAAGUUGAAUGGGAUGCAAUGAUCGCAGGGAAUCUGCAUGAGCCUCUCAGACUGCAGUGUCUUUGUGAGAGACCGGAGGACUGGAGUUAAGGGAGAAAACGCCAUCUGCUCCCCUCCCUUCAUCGUCAACGGAAGCAUUUAGUGCCAUCUGUGCCCCCGGAGAAAAAAAAAGAGGGGGAAAAAAAGAAAGGAGCGAGAGCCUACAUCCCAAGUGCCAAUGGGGACAAAGAGGCUGCCAGUUGCCACGGACCACCAGAUGCUGGAAGACUGAAUGAGGGGUGUGCUUUCAGGAAGCCAUCUUGAUGGAGAAACUGGCUGCUGCUCCCUAAAAUGGCUGUGUUGGCAUGAGGCUCCUACCAUGGAAAACUGUAUAAAUACCUAUAAAACCACAGUUGUCAUCAGCUGCUGGAGAAACUGAGACCCUAUCCUGCUAUGUUUGACUCAAAUGGUCAAUCUGAUCACCUCAGGAAUCCAGUGUCCAACAUCUCUUCCAGACAGUGCUCUGUGGAAAUUAAACAAGCAGUCAUGAGGGAUAGAUUUAACAUGUGCACUAAUUGAUUUAUCUGGAUAGCAGCCUUCAGACAAUCACUAAUAAUUGUAAUCAGAAUGAUUUGGGCUGUUAAACCAUAUAGAUUUUUUUAAAUUGUGUCAUAUCAAUUGCUCAACAAUGUGCCUUAAUGUGUGAAAUGUUUACAAUGAUGUUUGCUAAUGUUGCAACAUGGCAGUGUCUGAGAAUUUAUAUGUAUUCAAUGUUUUCUUGUCUUAUAUACAUUAUAGUGAACUUUCAUGUUAGAUACAGUUGUGUUUGUAAUGUAGCUACAGCAUAAUAUCUAGACUUUUAUCUGAUUUUGUAAUGUCUAAACAAUGUCUGUACUAAUAAACAUGCAUUAAAUAUGA
RNAcentral lists this long non-coding RNA (1485 nucleotides) under Danio rerio (zebrafish). RNAcentral describes it as "si:ch211-132d3.4 (ENSDARG00000101584.3)". The stretch from base 495 to 572 matches the Rfam family "mir-9/mir-79 microRNA precursor family". Lineage: Eukaryota; Metazoa; Chordata; Actinopteri; Cypriniformes; Danionidae. The record is from RNAcentral.